This 253-nucleotide ribosomal RNA is filed under the name uncultured bacterium. RNAcentral's name for it is "partial 16S ribosomal RNA". It matches the Rfam family "Bacterial small subunit ribosomal RNA", at positions 524 to 776 of the family's 1533-position model. The record is from RNAcentral.
GACGUAGGGGGCCAGCGUUGUUCGGAAUUACUGGGUGUAAAGGGUCCGUAGGCGGUGCGGCAAGUCGGGAGUGAAAUCUCUGGGCUUAACCCAGAGGCUGCUUCCGAAACUGCUGUGCUUGAGUGUGGGAGAGGCGCGUGGAAUUGCAGGUGUAGCGGUGAAAUGCGUAGAUAUCUGGAGGAACACCGGUGGCGAAGGCGGCAUCCUGGACCAUGACUGACACUGAAAAGCGAAAGCCAGGGGAGCAAACGGG